Taeniopygia guttata (zebra finch) is the source of this 6702-nucleotide non-coding RNA. Lineage: Eukaryota; Metazoa; Chordata; Aves; Passeriformes; Estrildidae. The record is from RefSeq and is a predicted model, not a curated record.
GAACACCCCUCCCCUCCCUGCUCCGACCGCCCCGCUUGGCCCCCGGCGGGCUGCGGGGAGCGGAGCGCCUCUGGACGGGAUUGCGGGAGGAGGCUGCGCCCCCCCUCCCCGCCGGGCCUGCGCCUUCCAUCCCCCAGUCCCCGCCGCUGCCGGGCGGGGGGAGCCGGUCCCCGCUGCCCCCCAGCGUGCCCUUGUGUCCCGGAAUAUGGGCAAGGAGCGGGAGCAUCCACGCCGCGCUCGCGGGGCUGCGGUGGGGCAAACGCGCUCCGAUUCCACACAUUAACAGAAAAAUUGGUGCUAACAGUGUUGCUGGUUUUAAAAUAAUAUUUAAUUUGUGCCUAAGGUCUUUUAGGACUGAUUGUGUUUGAGUUCAGGGCAUUAAAUGUCUCUUCAUUCAAACAUCCUGAGGAAAAAAAAUAUGCAUUGGAGGAAUGAAAGUCUUGACCCUAUUUUAAUGGCCUCGAUGCAAGUCUUUAAACGUGGGAAAGGGCUGCUCGCCAAGAAUUUUACCUGUGCCGAAGUCUGUAGGAUUGGGGCCUUGGAAAAGGCAUUAUUUUAUCAGCUGUUGUUUGCAUCUGUCAGAGUUUGUGUGUAACUUGAUAAAUGUUAAACAGGGAAGCAGAAAGUGCUGGUGAGGCCAGACUCGGAGAUAACGGCACAUUCAAUAGCUUAAUUUCACAAUUAGUUUACUGUAUUAUUGGAAGCAAAUCAUAUUUCACUGUGCCUACACUAGUGCUCUAUUUUUAGCCAUAAUCUAGCUAAAAAGGAGGAACCUACUGAGAUGUAUUAUAACAUCGAAUGUGAAAAAUUCUGUUCUCUCUCUUUUUACUCAUUUCGUGUCAUACAUCUGGUUUGGAAUACAGCUCAUUUAUUAAUUGAACAGAACUACCGUGGAUGGGCUGAUGGCUGCAAUUCCAAGGCAGAGGAAAGUUUCACGCAACUCUGCAAGGAACCCAGCAAGUUACAGCCAUGCAAAAAGCAUCCAAGCACACAGUCUGCUCUCCCAAUAACUGGCCUAGCCAGAACAACUAUUUUUUAUUAAUUUAGAAUUACAGUGUAUUUGCCUCUUUGGUUGCACUUUUUUUGUUUUACUUUUCUUGAUAUUUUUUUCAGGGUAAAGCUGUAAAUGAAAACGGCGUUUGAAAUGCUUCGAUGUAACCUUUGUGUUACAUCAUCUUUUUUAUUGUAUUUUUAAGAACAAAAAGGAAAUAUAAAAUAAAAUUGAAGGAAUAUACAGAUCUACUGCCUUAGUACCAAACAUUUGAUCCCUUCCCUUUCCCCUGUGACACAGACAGAGAUGGUUGCUGGAAGAAUAAAGCACCUUUCACGGUAUGUGCAAGAUGCUCACAGUUUUUCCACAAAUUCAGUAGAAACCUUAUUUGUUUUCUGUUUGUGGUUCACAGGAGCACUUAGCUUUUUAGUGGUUGACACUAUACCUAUUUUUAGCAGCAUUUUAACAGCUGUCACUAACAAAUACGAUCCCAUCUUGAAUGAGAAGGGGAGUUUAUCUGUUUUAUUUUAAAAAAUCAGACUACGUAGUUGUCAGAUUUUAAAAUGCAAUUUGGAUCUUUAUCUGUGAAGAGAAAAGGCUAUAUUUUCUCAUUAUGCCAAUUCCAUGGGGGAAAGAAAAGGGGGAUGUGUAGUGGGCUUGAUAAAGUAAUGACAGGGCUUUGCAAGGUUUGGAAAUAAUGUUAUUCAAAGGCAUACAAAUGUAUAUAUAGCCCAUUUCAGAUUUGGUUAAAAGUGGUCCUGUUUUGCUGCCUUCUGCAGCUGUGUUGCGGCGGGGGAAGCUGCAAAGAAUCAAGUCACAGUUUUCCAAGUAGGUCAAGAGGAGCAGCGCGGACACCUCCAAUGACCAAUUCUCUUCCCUCAUACUAGAUUUUCUAUGAGGUUAACUCAUGUCACACACAUGAUACUGAAAGCAUCAGACAGACAAGUGUUAGGGCACUCUUGCAGCAGCUGUCAUCUCUUUUCCUAAAGAUAGGGGCAAAUUUGCUAUGGAUAAUGUAUUACAAAACAAGAUAAUGCUGGAACUCGGCAAGUGUCAAAUUGUACAUCCUCCUGUGCUUAGAAAAGUGAGCGAAUUGGUAUUAGGGGCUGCAGGAGCAGCGAUGUAGUGUAAAAGCAGCCUACUGUACUGUCUUACUUAGAGGUCAUGUGCCCUAUUUUGAGAACUGAACCAAAGCGGAUGAAGUUUUGAGUCAGGUCCAACUAAGGCAGCUGGGCAUUUCCCACUUCUCUCCAGCUCUAGCCCAGGAAUGCAGGCAAUCACAUGGUCACACAUAUUAUUCCUUUACCCGACAUUACUCACCGUAGAUUUAAUUUUUGUGCCAUUUGGCUCCUGUGGGUUUGAUUAGUUGAGAUUUGCAGCUGGUCAGAAGUAGUUGCAUUUUGGGAAGACACCAGAAACACAUUGGGGAUGACAGGUGAGAAUUUACUUUCCCUGACCAACAGAUAUGAAUUUUCCAAGAGAGGAGUCCACAGUAUUUUCUGACUUGCCAGUUAAUUGUUUUAAAGCUAGUUUCCCAAGCCAUGCUGGAAGUCUUUAGAAUUCUUUACAAGAUAAAAUGUAAGUAAGCAUGUUUUCUGUAUGGUAUGUUUAUGUUCUCCAAGAUAUCAAUACUUUAUCUAUUUAGUCUAAUUUUGAACAAUUUUGUUGUCUAAUUAUAGAGAAAUCCUUUAGAUGAGCAACAGAACAUGUUCCCUUUUAACCUGUAUUCUUUCUUUUCUACCUUUUUUUCUUUUUUUUUUUUUUUUUGUUAAUGCUCUUUAAUGGCCAUGUUGUAACUGUGGUUGAACCACAUCUAAGUAUAGUACAAGUGCAUUUCUAAUGCACAUUGGCAUUAGAAACCACUUUCUUGUGCAAAGGGCCAAGACAUGCAUUUAAAAACAUCUAUUUCCAAUGCAUUUCAAAUCACAGUUUUUAUUGACUAUUAGCACCAAUAGUUUCAUCUGCUUCAAAAUAAAAACCUCCCACAGGGAGUUGCUUGUUGUGGAUAAUAGGUCCUGUAGAGAGUGGCAGGACAAGCAAAGCAUGAAGAAUAACACAUGGGCAGUACUUUGUAUUUUCUGGAGCUUUAAUAUUGUGACAUAUGUUUACAUCAUUUAUAGUCAGCUUCUCUCUUGCACCAUUUCUUGUACGAAUAUGCAAUUUGUAAAAAAAAUUGUCAUUGUCACAGAAAGCAGCCUUAUCUCGAUAUUAAUGAAUUCCCAAGCAAUAGAAGGUAGUGGCAGCUAAUUGUAUCUUAAUAUUUAUCUACUACCUACUGGCAUUUUUGCAAUAUCAAAUGGUAACUCAUGCCGUAAUCUGAUAAAAAAUUUGUAGUAACCAUAAUAGUACUGCCAAAAAUAGUACUGUGCCAAAAACCCAGACACAGUGCUUAACAGCAGUAAAAAGUGCAAAUAGCACCCUCCAGCACUUAAUAAACAUAUCAAAUGCAAAUUGGAGGAAAUUAUUUAAUCAGUCUAUAGGCUAGUUAAUUUUGAUGAUUAUUCACAGUUCUAGCAGCAAUACUUGAAGUGUGGAAUAAGUUAGUACCAAAUUGUCAUGACACCAAGGUCAUAAGCAGAAUUUGAAACUUGCUGCAUAGAGGAAAUUAUCUUCCUGAUUGAAUGAAGGUGCAGCUUUAAAGCUCCUACAUCAAAAGGAGAAUUCUUAUGUAAUUUUACAGAUUCUUUUAUAAUCCUGAAAUUGCCUGCUCCCAGAUAUUAUUCAAUGGGAGAUGGUUUGAUAUAAAACUGCAUGAUCAAAUUCAUAUUGAGACUUGAAAAACAUUUGUUGUCUACAUUUUUUUAAAAUCUGUAUUUCCUGGAGAAAAGAGAUUUUGACUGGACUCUCCCCAAAGUGUACAAUGAAGCAGAGACUGAGAAGAGCAAUGCUGUGAAGCUAAGAGAGUGAGGAAGAAACAUGUACAAGACAGAAAAGGAAAAGAAAAACCUAUUGAUUUUGGUGGAAGAUGCACUGCUUUCCUAAAUAAAUUUUGUUGAUUUUGUUCAUAUAUUGAACUCUCGCUUCCUUUGUAGGCUAUGAUCCAGCUCUAGGAGCCCCUUCAAUGUGUCCCCUAGGCCCACACUGGGCAGUUGAUUUUGCACAACAUGGAGAGUUGGUCCUUGCCAGAUGCACAUUGCUUUACACAGGUUUGGUUAAAAAAGGAACCAUAAGGCAGUGUUCUGAGUACAUGUCCUAGCUUUGGAGAUCAAGGUCACACCAGAAUUUGUCUGCCCUAGACUAAAUAUCUGGUAAUGAAAAGUCAUGCAUUCCAGCAUUUUCCCACUGAACUUAAGAGGACUUGGCUUACAAGUCACGAGGGAGAAAUUUUGGCACAUUAGAUUGGUUUGUCCGUAGUAACUCACAGGUGAGGGUAGUAUUCUCAUCAACCCUAUUGCCUGGCUGUGGUUCAUUCUCUUCUGGUUUAAACCAACUCAGCUUGGUUUCCACAAAGGGUGCUCUCUCUAUCAGUGCUUGUGCAAUCCUGGCACCUGCAGCAUCCAAGAGCCACACAGACCCAUUUCUUCUGAGUUCUAGAAAGAAGAGCAGCAUUAUCAGCAUUUUAUAAGCAGGGAGUGGAGGAACAAAGAGAUUGCAGGGUUUAUCUCAUGCCACUAAGAAGGUUACAAAGUACAAAGAUUAUUACUUCCCAAAUCACAAUCACCGCAUUCCAUUGAGGGACCAGGGUCCCUUUUCAGCCAUGGCCUUCCCAGGGAUGCUGCCAGAGCAUGAGUGACAUAGCCUUAAAACCCUUUUGGUUGUUGUCUGGGAAGGAAAACACGUGCUGUGCUUGAAUGGAGUCAUUAUUGGAAUGAAUUUUAGAAACCCCAUAUUGCUGGGGCUUUUACCAUAUGGAUUAGCAGCAGCCACUGAAGACUGAUAUUACCUUCCCUACCUGCUCAAACCUGGUCGGAGGAGUCACAUUCCAUGAAUACGCAAGAAUUUCUGGCAUGAAUGCUUGUACAUGCAUAUUUUGGCUCCCAUGCAUGUUGUUCAUGCACUCACCACUUUGAACUCUGCUUUUCAUGAGUAAUUCUGACCAAAAAAACUCAUUCCUUCAUAUAUGUAUCUAAAAUGUAAACACAUAAGAUGCCAAAUGGAAGUAAUAUCAUAAGCUUUUUGUUAUUUAUUCAUUUUUCAUUCCAUUCUCAGCCCUGGCUAGAUGCUCACAGAGUGGAAAUUAUGUACCACUCUCAAGAUUUCUAAAGGAAGAUCAGCCAGGACUCAAAGGAAAUCUUGUUUAAGAGUCAAAGUUGUUCCAUGGUAGGACUCAUAGAGGGUUUAGCAAACAAGAAUUUCUCUUGACAUGGUUCAUUUAUGUCCUCUAUGCAUGACUUAAAAUUGAAAACAUGAGCCUAUCAGAAAUCUUUUGUGUUCAACAGCUGCUUGUAAGACAUGACUACUUCCAAAUGUAAGAGCAGGUACUGAUCCUUUUAAUCUGGUUACUUUAGUCUUGCUCUAGGCAGAAGACACCUCUCACUGUGGUGCUAGUCCUGCAGGACUUCUCAAGUCCUAACCAUUACUCUUAUCUGUAAGAAGAAUAAAAAAGACCACUGAAAGGUGAUUAAGGUCCACUGUCCUUAACACAGGACAGUUAAGGAACUAGAGGUGCUGAGCUGUAUUUGCAUUAUUUAUACUACUAUUUUAUAGCCGCAAUAAUAGUGAUUGUAACAUGAUUUACAAUGUUUCUCUAUCAGGAGAGAAAGAAUUAGACCUUCUUUUAGUGGGAAUCAUUAAAAAAAUGAAUACAUAAAGUAGGCAGUACAAUCUGCCUGCACAUUUUUAUUUCAGAGCUUGUACUGAAGGGUGUCUAAGCAAGUGCUUCCUUGUAGAUCUAUUGUGGAGAGCAAAUGAAUCCCAGGGACUGUCGCUCCUUGUUGAUCAUCAGUGGGCGUAGAUGCAGUAGAUGUAAAGGUCUAUGACUCACUGAGCUAGCUAAGGUGAAACCAGAUGAGAGGAGAUAAUUGCACCAUUAUAAAAAGAAUUAUCAUAGUUUGAUUACAGAAAAAAAAAUCUUCUAAUGGUGCCAUAACUCUUGGGAGCUAGAAUAUGAGAUGGGACUGAAAGUGAGGAGUUCAUGUCAAGGAAUAGUAAAAUGUCCCUUUUAAUUGAUCCAUUCUAAUUAGACAUGCCAAAAAGAUGAUUUCAAGGAUUGAAGGUAUAAUUGGUCAAAACAGCCUAAGGUACAUCCCCAUGCCAGUUCUGAUUACAAAAAAAAAAAAAAAAAAAAAAAAAAAAAGACUAAUCAAAGAGAUGAAUUGACAAGGACAAGAAAUUUAUAAUUCCAGAGAUUACUGGAAUACUUCAUGAAUGAGAUGAUGCAACCUCCUGCCUUAUGCAUGAAAAUAGAUACUGAGUUUAAAAAUUACCCAUCUAGUCUGAUGAUCCAUACAUUGAAGAGUGAAAGAGAAGGGUUGCAGGUAAUCUAGACUGAUAUGAGAAAUUCUAAUACUUACAGUGAUAUGAAGAAUGCAUUUCCUUUUGACAGACAGUGAAGAUUUGGUGUCUGUAAGUCCAGAAACCAUGUCUAUAAAAUGCAGAAAGUAUUUGGGCAAUUAAGAACAAAAAGGAAAUGUGGUGUAAAUUAAUGGGCAUCUUUAUAGUUUACAUGGAAACACUUGUCAGGAUGGUUUCAUACCUUAUACAUUAUAAGCUGACUACAAUUUAAGCUGCAAAAGCAGAAUGAAGAAGACAAUAAAUUUUGAAGCACACUA